CCCUUAUGAUUCUUGAGCUCUUUUCCCACAUCCCUCGCUCCCACACGCACGCACUGGCUCUCCCCAUCCAUGCCGUCUUGACAUCAUCUCCGUCCUCGCAUUGUACGCAUACCAACACAACUGGCCACGUCGCACUACGCCCCCCCCCAGCCCUCACCUCUCCUCUCUCCGCCUCUCUGCAGUCUACGAGUGAGAAAGAAAGCGCCCUAGUGCAGUCCCUCCAUCGGUGUCUGUGCGUGUGGGUCUGUGUGUUGCUCUUGGGCAUCCACCACCACCACCACCCACACGCUCGUCUUCACCUAAACCGCCCCCGCCCUCGUCGGCUCCUUCCGCUCCUUACCUCUGUUUCUAGGUUUCCUUCGCCGUCUUUGCAGACGGCCAUUGUAUCGCUUCUCUACCGAGUCAGUAGCCACCGCCAACGACCCGCCUCUCCGCCCCGCUCACUCGUCCCGGCAGCGGCGUUGUCUUCGUUGCUCCUAUUCGUCGACUUCCUCUGCUCGACACAUAUUGUUGGCUACUGGAUCGAGUGGCCGGUGACGCGCCGCCCCCAAGUCGUUUCGCGGUUGUCGUCGUAUCAAGAAAAGACGCACACUCUUGGUCGUCACGAAGACCCGCACAAACAGCGAAACGCCAGCGGGCAACUCAGCAGACGUCAACAUCGAUUGACUCAUUGACUAUGGCAGUCUCAGGUGGCGAGGUGAUUGGCCGCGAGGGCGAUCCGUCCGUGCGCAAGGCGAACGCGAAGCAGCUGGCCGCCGGCUACACCAGGAAGAAGCGCCUCCUCGAGUGCUGCUACCUCUCCGCCUCUACGUUCCUGUGGUGCAGCAACGUGAUCUCAUGCGGCCGCUACUUUGUCUUCGCGUCCGAUGCGAACUUGAUGCAGCUCGUGUGGAUGCCGCUGUUCAUCCUUGCGGCCAUGGUGCUGGCAGACCUCGUCUCCGGCCUCGUACACUGGGGCAUGGACACGUGGGGCACCCCUGACACGCCGAUCUUUGGCACCUUCAUCCGCAGCUUCCGCGAGCACCACGUUGACCAGACGGCCAUGUGCAAGCAUGACUUCAUCGAGACGAACGCCGACACGACGCUGCCUCUGCUCCCUCUGCUGCUUAUCCAGUACGCAUGCGUGCGGUCCACAAAUCGCAGUGGAAACCGCUAUGUCGCCAACCUGCAUGUUCGCAACAUCGGUGUGCACGUCUUCCUCUGCACCUUCUUCAUCUUCGUGGCCAUCACGAACGAAAUCCACAAGUGGUCGCAUCAGGCGAAGCAGUCCCGCAUUGUGCGCAAGGCAAUGGGCAUCGGCAUUCUCCUCUCCCCCAUUGCCCACCGCAAGCAUCACAAGGACCCCUUCGACCGCACCUAUUGCAUCACCACGGGGUGGUUGAACCCCCUGCUCGACUCCACGAACUUCUGGCGCCACCUGGAGUCUCUGGUGUCCUCUAUCACGGGCGAGAUCCCUCGCGCUAACGACCAGACUCUGCUGGGGAAGUGAGAGCACAGCAAAAUGAAAAGAAGGAAGCGCACACACGCGCACGCAGGCACGCUCGAUGUCUCUGUCCUCUCUCCCAUCGUCACGUCUAGAGCUCGCCUUGUAGGCGAGGCAGGAAGGAGCCACGGUCAAACGAAUGUACACGCCCACGCGGGCGACUCUUCCGCUUCUGCGCGCGUGUGUUCUCUCGCCGGUCGGCGUCGCUUUUGCCGCACGGCCUUGCUUAUAUUCUCUUCCCCGCUUAUGUUUUUUUUUGUUUGUUUUGAGGGGGUCUCUCUCUUUAAGUGUGGUCGAACAUGUAUGUGUGCGAUCCGGUGGGUAAGCAGCAAUGCGAGGGGUUGUGAGGAAGCCGCCCCUUCCUCCUCCUCCUCCACCACCACCCCCUUCCCUUUUUUGUAUUGCUUGGGUUUUAUGUUCCUUAACCUGACUUGCUCUCUCUCUCUCUUUAGAUUAUUUCUCCUCUCCGUCUCCCCCCCCCCUUCGCUCCUUCUGUGCCACCUCGCAGUGCGCAGCGUGUGCCUGCCUGUGUCUGUGUGUGGCACACAUCACACAGAUCUUGUGAGACUAACUCUCAGGCGCCCCCCCUCCGCCCCCCCCCCCUUCGUCUCUUUCUGCACUGCCCGAUUCCAUAUCGCAUCGCCCUCACCCGCCGUGCCGCCCCCUCUCUCUUUGGCUCUCCUCCCCCGCCGCCGUCACAUGCCGGCUUGCCUCCUCCACGUUGGUGUGACGGUGGCGGUGGUGCCGGCAGUGAGAGAAGGCAAUCUGAAGCAUCUCAUACGUAUGUAAAGUGCACAGCUGUGGGCGUAUCAGGGUGGUGUUGUCGGUGCCGUUAUCGUGGGGAUUGAGCAACUUGUGGUAGCCAGCGGAGAACAAUGACGCGUGUGUAUGUGUGUGUGUGUGUGUCCAAGUGAUGCUCGGCUGAUCUGGUAGCGGGCGGAGGUCGGCGUGCAGGAGCCACACCGGUGAGAUGGCGGACGAGGGCGAUGGCGUGUGGAAAUCUC
This 2487-nucleotide unclassified non-coding RNA is filed under the name Leishmania donovani. RNAcentral's name for it is "gene:LdHU3.21.0540(CDS-product:ubiquitin-conjugat ing_enzyme-like_protein)". The record is from RNAcentral. Lineage: Eukaryota; Euglenozoa; Kinetoplastea; Trypanosomatida; Trypanosomatidae.